GCUUCGUUGGCUCAGUUGGUAGAGCGUCAGUCUCAUAAUCUGAAGGUCGAGAGUUCGAGCCUCCCACGGAGCA
This 73-nucleotide transfer RNA is filed under the name Tortispora caseinolytica NRRL Y-17796. It matches the Rfam family "tRNA". From Rfam's summary of the family: Transfer RNA (tRNA) molecules are approximately 80 nucleotides in length. Their secondary structure includes four short double-helical elements and three loops (D, anti-codon, and T loops). The record is from Rfam by way of RNAcentral. Lineage: Eukaryota; Fungi; Ascomycota; Trigonopsidomycetes; Trigonopsidales; Trigonopsidaceae.